Molecule: long non-coding RNA, 774 nt
Organism: Wyeomyia smithii (pitcher-plant mosquito)
Lineage: Eukaryota; Metazoa; Arthropoda; Insecta; Diptera; Culicidae
Exons: 3
Source: RefSeq, a predicted model, not a curated record
CUUGUGUGUCUCAUAAGUAAUUUAGUUUCCAAUUGAAGAACAACUUCGGUUAGGCUGAUAUUAGUUCUCCGCGUUCCUUUGCCAGCUCUUAAGGAAUCAAUCCACGGAUCAUGAACCAGAAAAAUUUAAUUGGGGUUACAGAUUGAGUGAUGAUCGCACACUAUCUCAAAGUGGUUUCAUAAAGGAAUUGGAGGAUGGCACUCGGGUAUUGGUGAUUACCGGCUAUUACAGCUUCAUUGCUCCCCCAUUGCACGAAAUACACCGUCGUUUAUAACGCUGGUGAGAACGGUUAUCACCAUGUAGUUACCGUCGGUUAAGUUACGCCACCAUUACUUGAAUUGGACCACAAAAUGCUUCUAUCUCUUGAAGGGCGAAGGUUAACUGUUACAAUUUUAUUCUUGUUUAAAGUAUACAAUUGUGCGAUUGAUCAUAUUUCCAAUGUUGCAUAUCGUGUGAAUAAUUUAUCAUAAUUCUUGUCUUUUAUGCCUAACGAAAAUCCAAGUGGAAUUCUCUACGUGUCUCUCUUAUACGCAAACGACUGAUCAGAGUGUUGGAUAACUUGGUUGGAAAGGGAAUCGCAUGGUCUGGCCCAAGUGAAUGUGGUUAUCAACAACUUGUACUUGAACGUUUAAUUGGCUUACCAGAAGGCAUUGGAAAAACCCAGAUCCACGGAAAUUUGUUUUCGCUAGUUCACUUCCUUUGUAUCCUCCACCUUCCAUUCCUGGUGCUUGUUUUGUUAGCGAAAAUGAUGUCAUCGGAACCGAGAAACGAUGA